Molecule: microRNA precursor, 81 nt
Filed under: Petromyzon marinus (sea lamprey)
Lineage: Eukaryota; Metazoa; Chordata; Hyperoartia; Petromyzontiformes; Petromyzontidae
Description: microRNA pma-mir-4579 precursor
Source: miRBase by way of RNAcentral
GAACGGUAGCGGCAGACCACCGCCGAGUUCUGUAGGUGGCGAGGUGGCAGGCGAGACUCGUGGUGACUCCGACUGUCGCCA